RNAcentral lists this transfer RNA (69 nucleotides) under Marmota marmota marmota (Alpine marmot). It matches the Rfam family "tRNA". Rfam says of the family: Transfer RNA (tRNA) molecules are approximately 80 nucleotides in length. Their secondary structure includes four short double-helical elements and three loops (D, anti-codon, and T loops). The record is from Rfam by way of RNAcentral. Lineage: Eukaryota; Metazoa; Chordata; Mammalia; Rodentia; Sciuridae. RNAcentral also lists the same sequence under 1 other name.
GGUGGUGGCUCAGUGGUAGAGUGCUUGCCUGUGUGUGUGAGGCCCUGGGUUCAAUUCUCAGCACCACCU